This 1761-nucleotide long non-coding RNA is filed under the name Olea europaea subsp. europaea. The record is from RNAcentral. Lineage: Eukaryota; Viridiplantae; Streptophyta; Magnoliopsida; Lamiales; Oleaceae.
GCUUCUUGUACAUAUGUCAAAUUUUAGAGAGCUAACUGCGACACAAUAAUUAUGAAACUGGAACUUCAAAUUGUUAAUUAAGUUCCAAAUACUCGUGACAAACAAAAACAAUAUAGAGUAAAUGGUGUAUGAUUUUAUGGAACUGGGAAAAAAGCAGUAAAUUAAGUACAAAUGAAGGAAUUCCCCUUGUCAUGAAGGUGUAGCAAUUAAAAUCCAAAAUCUAAGUUAUUUGAUAUCUGAGUCAUUCAGUCAAAGUCAAUAAUUAAUUUUCACUAUAUAUUUUUAUAAGAUCUAUAAUUUUUCAACUACACAUUUUAUCAACUUAUAUCAAAAUCUACUAAAAAUCUGAUUUUAAUCUACAAAACACAGGAGCUUAAUAACAUUUGGAUCCCUAGUGGAUCCCUACUAGGCCCCUUUUUGGGGGAAAUUUUUAGGGCAAAAAAUUGAAUUUUUUGACCGUUGGCCACCCAUUUGCAGUCAUCUUUGUUGACCAAAGCUCUCCGGGUGGGUCCCGACAAACCAAAAAGGGUAAAAAUAAUAAUAAUAAUAAUAAUUGCUCUUUUAUUUUAUUUUAUAUUAUAUUUUGGAAAAGCUGCAACAAACAGCCGCUAGGUCUCCAGUGUGAAAGGUCGUCCCGUCGGUAUUCAGCAAAAGCUAGCUAACUUCUCAAUGAUCAGAACACUAGGAUUUGCAACGUCCUCAUUUUCUUCUUGCAGGUAAGUGUUAAGGCCUUUCUUCUAUACUUUUUGAAAUGCAAAAACCGAGCUUCUUAUUCCGACGCUUGGCAACUUUGGCAGCAGCACACAUAUUUCAUUUUUGUCGUUAUCUUUGGCAGUAGCAGCAUUUUUGUUGGUGACAUUAUCAUCAUCGUCCUCGCUUGAACUACAAGCUCUUAAUCUAAUGCAUCCUUCACAAAAAAUUUCAACCUCCACAAAGUAGAUUCAUGCUGCAUUUCACCGAGAUAUGCAUAUGCCAAGAGAAUAUUACCCAAAAAGUGUACAGCACAAAGUUUAUAUGAACCUGUGCAUUGAAGUCAAGCUCCACGUUUUCAGCUGUCGAUGGGAAGCAGCUAUUAUAUCUAGUGCCUUGCUAUCUUCAGGACAUAAUUUGGAGAGAUCAAUCCCAAGUUUUCUUUUCUCCACCAUAGAUACAUAUACGUCUGGAGUAAUGCUUUCAUAAGUACCAUUGGGUGACGACAAGAUAUGAAGAAAAAAUAACCACAGUUGUAAAUAAAUUACUCAUCAAAAUCCUGAUGGAUCCAAUACUUCAUUUUCAAUUAUCAUUUCCUCCAUCUGGCCCUAAGCAUGUUCAUCCCUACACAAUUGAACACGCGAGUGAAUAUGUCUGUGGUCAGGAAAAGUAAAAAAGCUAAAAUAUUUACAUAUAGAUACAAAGCAGAAAUGCCUGAUAUAAAGGACAAACCAGUCUAUUCAAUUUCAGGCAUGAGAAACAUAACGUCCUUAGAAUGAGUUAAUGCUAGUGCCAGUGUUGAUUGAAGUAGAGGGGGAAGGAGUCGGAGGAACCGACAGGCGACUGAGGAAUGCAUCCUUACUUCUGAGAUAUAAACCACAAAACGUGAAUACAAUGGCAAAACAAGCAUUAGUUCUGACCUGCAUCUUUUAACGAUCAUCUCUCCGAGUUCGUCAAUAUGCAUGUCAACCUCAUAGAGCUUUAACAAAUUUAAAACGGAUUAUCAACUCUUUUAAGGCGGUAACUGACACGACCCAUCUCGAAUUAUCUCAGUGGACUCUACACGUGUCG